Molecule: non-coding RNA, 1695 nt
Organism: Kogia breviceps (pygmy sperm whale)
Lineage: Eukaryota; Metazoa; Chordata; Mammalia; Artiodactyla; Physeteridae
Source: RefSeq, a predicted model, not a curated record
CCCUCUGCAGAUAAGUUGGGGCGAGGGGAGCUGGUGGGAGCAGCACUGGGGGAGGGGUGGGCCUGGCUGGCUCACCAGCAGGCUUGUCCUGGCUGAGGAGCUCCUGGGUCCGUUCUUUGUAACAGGAGGGGACUAGCCUCUUGUUACGCCACAGUCUCUGCAGCAGUAUCAACCCCCACUUUCCAUCCUCACUAGAUUCAAAAGGCCACUGGAACUGCCAAGGAGAGGCCUUCCUGGGCUGUUGGUGUGCGGAGGAUUCCAAUUAACUGCCCUUGCCCAGACCCUGCCAUCUCCUAGGUGGAGCACUUGACUGCUUGGCUAGUAAGUGAUCCAUGGAUGUGAUGCAAGGAUUUUGAUGAGCUGUGUUACAUCCAGGUCUCAGUCUCAACUGAUCUGCAAAUAACUGCAGUAGAAACGUGGCAACCCAGUGGACAGGUAGUGAGACCUGCCACUUGGAGGAAUUGAGAACCAGAUUCUGUACACCAGGCUGUGCUUAGCUGCUCUGUGUGUGUUCGGCCUGCCGGGGACUUCUGGCAUCCAGGUGCAACAGGAGAGGCUUUUAAAGAUGUCCAACACAAACAUCCCCACAUGAGAGAGAGCGAACACAGGUCACUGAAACAAAGGAAAAGGUGGAGGGGCGCGCACACACAAAGGGAGCAUCCAUCUGAGAGACGGAGAAGCAAAAUGUCAGCGGGAAAAACCACAACCCGGUUCCCAGAGACUAUGAAAGCUGAUCUGAUGUAAAGACUCAACUAAAACCGGAUUCUACAGCAUUCUACAGAAAUACACAGCCGUCAGUCACUCUGGGUUGUAGGUUAGACAGGGGCUUGAUACAGAAAGGCUGUGUGUCUUACAAAGGCCAAAAGGUCAUGCUACCAGGAGAUCAACGUCAACAGCAAAGAGUCCGUGAAGCAGUCUGUAGAGAAAGAGAUAAGGGGUCCAGUCUGACCAUUUUCCUUGAUUUAAAACACCAGCCAACCAACCAACAAACCCUCCAACAUGUUUAAUAAUGUUGAGGUGGGGCAAGAUGGGGCAGCAUCGCAGGGGGAUCAGGAAUCCAGGGGAAGCCUAGCCCGGGCCUCCUGGGAGGCCUCACCCCUCGGGACCCUGACCCAGCCAGGUCUGCAGAUCUGCCCUCCCCUCAGCCACUCCUGCCCAUUUCUCCACAUCACUCCCCUUCUUUCUCCCGCCCUCUUGGAGGGGGAGCCCUUUUGGAGGGGAGGAGCAGCUUCAGCUCUGCAGGUGACCUUGUGCUUUGCAUGGUCCCUCCCCUCAGCUGCUUGCAGAAAGCAGCCAGAGUCUCCCUUUGCUCUGACUCUUGUUAACAUGAAUAAAGAAAACUCAGGAGACAGACAGUGGAUUGGUUGGGUCAAUGAUUCUUCUAAAUUCUUGAAAUUAACUAUCUCUACCACCCAAAAGAGAAGCAUCCUUAAUUUUUCUGUUGGGAGUAUAGGGCAGGGAGACAUUUGGAAUGUUGGCCAUUUUUUAAAGGGUUUUGGAAUUCGCACAAGAGCAGGACAGAACUGACAGCACAUAGCCUCAGCGGGUGGAUGCAGAGGAAAAGGCUGGACUAAGGCCAGGCCUUCCCUUGUCCUCUCCCUGCUCACAGAAAUGGGUCUCAGAGUGUAAAAUCACGUGGCUGUUCUUAAAAGGAUGGACUCCCAAAUCAGGACUGUCAUCGUGAUGCGCGCGCAU